Papaver somniferum (opium poppy) is the source of this 595-nucleotide long non-coding RNA. RefSeq lists it as uncharacterized. The record is from RefSeq and is a predicted model, not a curated record. The transcript is spliced from 2 exons. Lineage: Eukaryota; Viridiplantae; Streptophyta; Magnoliopsida; Ranunculales; Papaveraceae.
GGUUGGCAUUCCUCUUACCCUAUCUUUUGAGUACUAUAUAUGUAGAGGUUAGUUAUCACUACUGGAUCAUCACCGUCAAAGAAGAAAAAGAAGAAGAAAAAUCAUUCACUAAAUCAUUUUUUUGUGAUCAGUAAAUAAGAAAUUAUGGGCAAGAUCAGUAUGUUUGUUAGCUUCUUCUUAUUUGUUUUGAUUGCCAUGCCUGCAGCCUCUUCAACAUCAAGCAGGACGAUGCUCGAGAAGGAUGCGAGAACAGAGAGGUGCCCAAAUACUCCGUCAUGCGACGACAACGUCGAACAGUGUGAGGAACCAACAAAUUGCCCAAGAAUUAGAUGCAGACAGGGGCUUGUUCUUUACCGGGAGUGUUGUGAAUGCCCAAAAUGCUGUUCCAGAAGAUAAUAACUGAUGAACCUACUGGCUAUUGCAAUGUUUUGAUGGUUCUUUUAUCACCUAUGUAUGUCUGCAUUUUUUUUCCUUUGAAUGUUUUGAUUUGGCAACCGUAAUGUAUCAGUGUGAUGAAAUAAAAUGUAUGCGGUUAUACUAGUUUUUUUUAACCGAUUAUUGAUGUUAAUCUAUCUAUUCAGCAUUUGUUCUUUUA